Molecule: ribosomal RNA, 253 nt
Filed under: uncultured bacterium
Lineage: Bacteria
Description: partial 16S ribosomal RNA
Rfam family: Bacterial small subunit ribosomal RNA
Source: RNAcentral
UACGUAGGGUGCGAGCGUUGUCCGGAAUUAUUGGGCGUAAAGAGCUUGUAGGUGGGUUGUUGCGUCUGCUGUGAAAAUCCGAGGCUCAACCUCGGACUUGCAGUGGGUACGGGCAGACUAGAGUGUGGUAGGGGAGACUGGAAUUCCUGGUGUAGCGGUGAAAUGCGCAGAUAUCAGGAGGAACACCGAUGGCGAAGGCAGGUCUCUGGGCCACUACUGACGCUGAGAAGCGAAAGCAUGGGGAGCGAACAGG